RNAcentral lists this ribosomal RNA (912 nucleotides) under Euplotes focardii. RNAcentral's name for it is "partial Bacterial small subunit ribosomal RNA". It matches the Rfam family "Bacterial small subunit ribosomal RNA", at positions 1 to 897 of the family's 1533-position model. Lineage: Eukaryota; Ciliophora; Spirotrichea; Euplotida; Euplotidae. The record is from RNAcentral.
UUGAGAGUUUGAUCCUGGCUCAGAACGAACGUUGGCGGCGUGGAUGAGGCAUGCAAGUCGAACGUGAAAACCCUCGGGUGAGUAGCGUGGCGGACGGGCGAGUAACACGUAAUCAAGCUACCUGCUAGACGGGGAUAACUUCGGGAAACCGAUCGUAAGACCCGAUAGUCUCACGAUACCGCAUGGUGAUGUGAGUAAAUGGACGGGAUCCUUCGGGACCGUCUGCUAGCAGAGGUGAUUGCGGCCCAUCAGUUUGUUGGUAGGGUAAUGGCCUACCAAGACUACGACGGGUAGCCGGCCUAAGAGGGUGGCCGGUCGCACUGGGACUGAGACACUGCCCAGACUCCUACGGGAGGCUGCAGUCGAGAAUCUUCCGCAAUGGACGCAAGUCUGACGGAGCGACGCCGCGUGGAGGACGAAGGCCUUCGGGUUGUAAACUUCUGUCACGAGUUAAGAAGGUUGCAUGGUUAAUAUCCGUGCAACUUGACGAAGGCUCGAGAGGAAGCACUGGCUAACUCUGUGCCAGCAGCCGCGGUAAUACAGAGAGUGCGAACGUUGUUCGGAAUUACUGGGCUUAAAGAGUACGUAGGCGGCAUAGCAAGUGUUAGGUGAAAUCCCACGGCUUACCCGUGGAACUGCCUAGCAAACUGCUGAGCUAGAGUGUGGUAGGGGAGAACAGAACUCAUGGUGGAGCGGUGAAAUGCGUAGAUAUCAUGAGGAAUACCGGUGGCGAAGGCGGUUCUCUGGUCCACAACUGACGCUGAGGUACGAAAGCUAGGGUAGCGAACGGGAUUAGAUACCCCGGUAGUCCUAGCCGUAAACGAUGGGCACUAGCUUGGGGCCUCCCUGUGUGGUUCCAGGUGAAGCAAAAGUAAUAAGUGCCCCGCCUGGGGAGUAUGGUCGCAAGGCUGA